Molecule: small nuclear RNA, 140 nt
Organism: Toxorhynchites rutilus septentrionalis
Lineage: Eukaryota; Metazoa; Arthropoda; Insecta; Diptera; Culicidae
Product: U4 spliceosomal RNA
Exons: 1
Source: RefSeq, a predicted model, not a curated record
AGCUUUGCGCAGUGGCGAUAUCGUAACCAAUGAGGUUUUAACGAGGUGCGAUUAUUGCUAGUUGAAAACUAUAGCUAAUUUUAUAAUUAAAUUGCCAUAGACUGUUAGGUGCAUUCGAUAGGUACAAAAAUAUUAAGAAU